GCCAGGCGUAGUAGUGCACGCCUGUAGUCCCAGCUACUCGGGAGGCUGAGGCAGGAGAAUUGCUUGAGCCCAGGAGGUCAAGGCUGCAGUGAGCCGUGAUUGUGCCACUGCGCUUUAGCCUGGGCGAGAGAGUGAGACCCUGUCUCAA
Unclassified non-coding RNA from Macaca fascicularis (crab-eating macaque), 148 nucleotides. It matches the Rfam family "Metazoan signal recognition particle RNA". From Rfam's summary of the family: The signal recognition particle (SRP) is a universally conserved ribonucleoprotein. It is involved in the co-translational targeting of proteins to membranes. Lineage: Eukaryota; Metazoa; Chordata; Mammalia; Primates; Cercopithecidae. The record is from Ensembl.